Molecule: ribosomal RNA, 465 nt
Filed under: Vreelandella stevensii
Lineage: Bacteria; Pseudomonadati; Pseudomonadota; Gammaproteobacteria; Oceanospirillales; Halomonadaceae
Description: partial 16S ribosomal RNA
Rfam family: Bacterial small subunit ribosomal RNA
Source: RNAcentral
CCUACGGGUGGCAGCAGUGGGGAAUAUUGGACAAUGGGCGAAAGCCUGAUCCAGCCAUGCCGCGUGUGUGAAGAAGGCCUUCGGGUUGUAAAGCACUUUCAGUGGGGAAGAAAGCCUUGGGGCUAAUACCCUCGAGGAAGGACAUCACCCACAGAAGAAGCACCGGCUAACUCCGUGCCAGCAGCCGCGGUAAUACGGAGGGUGCGAGCGUUAAUCGGAAUUACUGGGCGUAAAGCGCGCGUAGGCGGUCUGAUAAGCCGGUUGUGAAAGCCCCGGGCUCAACCUGGGAACGGCAUUCGGAACUGUCAGGCUAGAGUGCAGGAGAGGAAGGUAGAAUUCCCGGUGUAGCGGUGAAAUGCGUAGAGAUCGGGAGGAAUACCAGUGGCGAAGGCGGCCUUCUGGACUGACACUGACGCUGAGGUGCGAAAGCGUGGGUAGCAAACAGGAUUAGAUACCCUAGUAGUC